GCAGGCCUAACACAUGCAAGUCGGACGGUAGCACAGAGAGCUUGCUCUUGGGUGACGAGUGGCGGACGGGUGAGUAAUGUCUGGGGAUCUGCCCGAUAGAGGGGGAUAACCACUGGAAACGGUGGCUAAUACCGCAUAACGUCGCAAGACCAAAGAGGGGGACCUUCGGGCCUCUCACUAUCGGAUGAACCCAGAUGGGAUUAGCUAGUAGGCGGGGUAAUGGCCCACCUAGGCGACGAUCCCUAGCUGGUCUGAGAGGAUGACCAGCCACACUGGAACUGAGACACGGUCC
Molecule: ribosomal RNA, 292 nt
Filed under: uncultured Pantoea sp.
Lineage: Bacteria; Pseudomonadati; Pseudomonadota; Gammaproteobacteria; Enterobacterales; Erwiniaceae
Description: partial 16S ribosomal RNA
Rfam family: Bacterial small subunit ribosomal RNA
Source: RNAcentral